AACGGAACUUCUUUAAAGGAUUUCUUCGGAAUGAAUUUGAUUAAGUUUAGUGGCGGACGGGUGAGUAACGCGUGAGUAACCUGCCUCUAAGAGGGGAAUAACAUUCUGAAAAGAAUGCUAAUACCGCAUAACAUAUAUUUAUCGCAUGGUAGAUAUAUCAAAGAUUUAUCGCUUAGAGAUGGACUCGCGUCCGAUUAGUUAGUUGGUGAGGUAACGGCUCACCAAGACCGCGAUCGGUAGCCGGACUGAGAGGUUGAACGGCCACAUUGGGACUGAGACACGGCCCAGACUCCUACGGGAGGCAGCAGUGGGGGAUAUUGCGCAAUGGGGGAAACCCUGACGCAGCAACGCCGCGUGAAGGAUGAAGGUCUUCGGAUUGUAAACUUCUUUUAUUAAGGACGAAGAAAGUGACGGUACUUAAUGAAUAAGCUCCGGCUAACUACGUGCCAGCAGCCGCGGUAAUACGUAGGGAGCAAGCGUUGUCCGGAUUUACUGGGUGUAAAGGGUGCGUAGGCGGCUUUGCAAGUCAGAUGUGAAAUCUAUGGGCUCAACCCAUAGCCUGCAUUCGAAACUGCAGAGCUUGAGUGAAGUAGAGGCAGGCGGAAUUCCCCGUGUAGCGGUGAAAUGCGUAGAGAUGGGGAGGAACACCAGUGGCGAAGG
This 660-nucleotide ribosomal RNA is filed under the name uncultured bacterium. RNAcentral's name for it is "bacterial SSU rRNA". It matches the Rfam family "Bacterial small subunit ribosomal RNA", at positions 65 to 721 of the family's 1533-position model. The record is from RNAcentral.